CCCUUGAGUUUGAUCCUGGCUCAGAGCGAACGCUGGCGGCGUGCUUAACACAUGCAAGUCGAACGUGAAAAGGGGCAACCCUGAGUAAAGUGGCGUACGGGUGAGUAACACGUAGGUAAUCUACCCCAAAGUCUGGAAUAACCGGCCGAAAGGCUGGCUAAUACUGGAUAGAGCGACGGAAUCCGUAAGUGGAUUUUUCGGGAAAGGGAGCUCGUAAGAGCCCUCGCUUUAGGAUGAGCCUGCGUCCCAUUAGCUAGUUGGUAGGGUAAUGGCCUACCAAGGCUUUGAUGGGUAGCUGGUCUGAGAGGAUGAUCAGCCACACUGGAACUGAAACACGGUCCAGACUCCUACGGGAGGCAGCAGUGGGGAAUCUUGCGCAAUGGACGAAAGUCUGACGCAGCCACGCCGCGUGAGUGAAGAAGGCCUUCGGGUUGUAAAGCUCUGUCGGACGGGACGAACAUCUAUACAGUUAAGAGCUGGGUAGACUGACGGUACCGUCAAAGGAAGCACCGGCUAACUUCGUGCCAGCAGCCGCGGUAAUACGAGGGGUGCAAGCGUUGCUCGGAAUUAUUGGGCGUAAAGGGUAGGUAGGUGGUCUCGUUUGUCUGGGGUGAAAGCCUUGAGCUUAACUCAAGAAGUGCCCCGGAAACGGCGAGACUAGAGUUCUGGAGAGGGUCGUGGAAU
Molecule: ribosomal RNA, 684 nt
Filed under: uncultured bacterium
Lineage: Bacteria
Description: bacterial SSU rRNA
Rfam family: Bacterial small subunit ribosomal RNA
Source: RNAcentral